CGUAGGGUGCAGGCGUUAAUCGGAAUUACUGGGCGUAAAGCGUGCGCAGGCGGUCUGCUAAGAGAGGUGUGAAAUCCCCGGGCUUAACCUGGGAACUGCGCUUCUAACUGGCAGGCUUGAGUGUGGCAGAGGGGGGUGGAAUUCCACGUGUAGCAGUGAAAUGCGUAGAGAUGUGGAGGAACACCGAUGGCGAAGGCAGCCCCCUGGGCUAACACUGACGCUCAUGCACGAAAGCGUGGGGAGCAAACAGGAUUAGAUACCCUGGUAGUCCACGCCCUAAACUAUGUCAACUGGUUGUCGGGGAAGCAAUUCCUUGGUAACGAAGCUAACGCGUGAAGUUGACCGCCUGGGGAGUACGGCCGCAAGGUUA
This 370-nucleotide ribosomal RNA is filed under the name uncultured organism. RNAcentral's name for it is "bacterial SSU rRNA". It matches the Rfam family "Bacterial small subunit ribosomal RNA", at positions 526 to 896 of the family's 1533-position model. The record is from RNAcentral.